UCAGGAUUGAAGUGAUGAUUUGUAUAAAAUAAAGCAUAGUUCAUCUGAUUCCUGAUGACAAACAAACACCAUUUUUGUCUUUCGCUCCCAUCUGAUCCUAU
Molecule: small nucleolar RNA, 101 nt
Filed under: Sporothrix schenckii ATCC 58251
Lineage: Eukaryota; Fungi; Ascomycota; Sordariomycetes; Ophiostomatales; Ophiostomataceae
Description: Small nucleolar RNA snR60/Z15/Z230/Z193/J17
Rfam family: Small nucleolar RNA snR60/Z15/Z230/Z193/J17
About the family: The members of this family belong to the C/D class of snoRNAs which contain the C (UGAUGA) and D (CUGA) box motifs. Most of the members of the box C/D family function in directing site-specific 2'-O-methylation of substrate RNAs. The family includes the yeast snoRNA snR60 (also known as Z15) and the corresponding human guide snoRNA U80 (SNORD80).
Source: Rfam by way of RNAcentral